GACAUGUUUAUUAUUUCCUGACAUUUUCAUUACAGAUAUUCAAGAAUUUUAUGAGGUGACAUUAUUAAAUUCUCAUAAAAGCUGUGAGCAGAAGAUAGAAGAAGCCAACCAAGUUGCACAGAAAUGGGAAAAGACUCUCAUUCAUGAUCCAUGCAGUGAUGGUCUGCAAAAGUCUGUAGAGCCUCCAGGUUGCAGUGGACCAAAAGAAAAUAGUUCAUACAUUGAUCAAAAUAAAGAAAACCAGUGUUUUGAGAAUGAAACUGAAGAAAAAACAUGUGUAAGUGUUCUUAUCUUUGUUGUUAUGAUUAGCAUAUUAUGUGUGUCCUAUUUUUCCAGAGAUGCCAUUUUCUAG
Molecule: long non-coding RNA, 352 nt
Filed under: Cricetulus griseus (Chinese hamster)
Lineage: Eukaryota; Metazoa; Chordata; Mammalia; Rodentia; Cricetidae
Description: lncRNA (ENSCGRG00000026382.1)
Source: RNAcentral